Molecule: ribosomal RNA, 504 nt
Filed under: uncultured bacterium
Lineage: Bacteria
Description: bacterial SSU rRNA
Rfam family: Bacterial small subunit ribosomal RNA
Source: RNAcentral
AUGGGCGCAAGCCUGACCGAGCGACGCCGCGUGGAGGAUGAAGGCCUUCGGGUUGUAAACUCCUGUCGAGGGGGAGGAAGGGGUAACCUUGACCUAUCCCUGGAGGAAGCACGGGCUAAGUUCGUGCCAGCAGCCGCGGUAAGACGAACCGUGCGAACGUUAUUCGGAACCACUGGGCUUAAAGCGCGUGUAGGCGGAUGGGGACGUCGGUCGCUGAAAUCCCCCGGCUCAACCGGGGAACGGGCACCGAAACGCCCCGUCUGGAGGAACGUAGGGGGACCUGGAACUUCCGGUGGAGCGGUGAAAUGCGUUGAGAUCGGAAGGAACGCCCGUGGCGAAAGCGAGGUCCUGGACGUUUUCUGACGCUGAGACGCGAAAGCUAGGGUAGCGAACGGGAUUAGAUACCCCGGUAGUCCUAGCCGUAAACGAUGGGCACUGGAUAGGGGGCUCGCCGAUGGGCUCCCUGUCGUAGGGAAACCGUGAAGUGCCCCGCCUGGGGAGUAU